AAAAUGUAACGGGGCUGAAGCCAUGCACCGAAGCUGAGGAUGUGUAGCAAUACACGUGGUAGCGGAGCGUUCCGUAAGCUGAUGAAGGGAGACCUGUGAGGGCUCCUGGAGGUAUCGGAAGUGCGAAUGUUGACAUGAGUAACGAUAAAGAGGGUGAGAGACCCUCUCGCCGAAAGACCAAGGGUUCCUGCUUAAAGUUAAUCUGAGCAGGGUUAGCCGGCCCCUAAGGCGAGGCAGAAAUGCGUAGUCGAUGGGAACCACGUUAAUAUUCGUGGGCCUGGUGGUAGUGACGGAUUGCACAAGUUGUUCUGGUUUAUUGGAUUAUCAGGGCAGCGGAGCGGUUCCAGGAAAUAGCUCCACCGUAUAGACCGUACCCGAAACCGACACAGGUGGUCAGGUAGAGUAUACCAAGGCGCUUGAGAGAACUAUGUUGAAGGAACUCGGCAAAUUGCACGCGUAACUUCGGAAGAAGCGUGACCCCAUAUGAGGCAACUCUUGUGGGGUGGCACAGACCAGGGGGUAGCGACUGUUUAUCCAAAACACAGGGCUCUGCGAAGUCGCAAGACGACGUAUAGGGUCUGACGCCUGCCCGGUGCUGGAAGGUUAAGAGGAGAGGUGCAAGCUUUGAAUCGAAGCCCCAGUAAACGGCGGCCGUAACUAUAACGGUUCCUAAG
RNAcentral lists this ribosomal RNA (674 nucleotides) under Rhizobium leguminosarum bv. trifolii. RNAcentral describes it as "bacterial LSU rRNA". It matches the Rfam family "Bacterial large subunit ribosomal RNA", at positions 1167 to 1955 of the family's 2925-position model. The record is from RNAcentral. Lineage: Bacteria; Pseudomonadati; Pseudomonadota; Alphaproteobacteria; Hyphomicrobiales; Rhizobiaceae.